Actinoplanes derwentensis is the source of this 140-nucleotide regulatory RNA element. It matches the Rfam family "SAM riboswitch aptamer (S box leader)". From Rfam's summary of the family: The SAM riboswitch is found upstream of a number of genes which code for proteins involved in methionine or cysteine biosynthesis in Gram-positive bacteria. The SAM riboswitch acts at the level of transcription termination control. The record is from Rfam. NCBI's taxonomy places the organism in Bacteria, Bacillati, Actinomycetota, Actinomycetes, Micromonosporales, Micromonosporaceae.
ACCUCAUCCAGAGGGGCAGAGGGAUACGGCCCGAUGAAGCCCCGGCAACCACCGCGCAGCAGUUCUCGAUGACGAGAAGCGACGUGGCAGGUGCUAAUUCCGUCCCCGUUCCGGCAGGUCGCCGCGGGGAAAGAUGAGAG